This 2538-nucleotide ribosomal RNA is filed under the name Escherichia coli. Its description in RNAcentral is "partial 23S ribosomal RNA". It matches the Rfam family "Bacterial large subunit ribosomal RNA", at positions 419 to 2925 of the family's 2925-position model. The record is from RNAcentral. Lineage: Bacteria; Pseudomonadati; Pseudomonadota; Gammaproteobacteria; Enterobacterales; Enterobacteriaceae.
GGGACACGUGGUAUCCUGUCUGAAUAUGGGGGGACCAUCCUCCAAGGCUAAAUACUCCUGACUGACCGAUAGUGAACCAGUACCGUGAGGGAAAGGCGAAAAGAACCCCGGCGAGGGGAGUGAAAAAGAACCUGAAACCGUGUACGUACAAGCAGUGGGAGCACGCUUAGGCGUGUGACUGCGUACCUUUUGUAUAAUGGGUCAGCGACUUAUAUUCUGUAGCAAGGUUAACCGAAUAGGGGAGCCGAAGGGAAACCGAGUCUUAACUGGGCGUUAAGUUGCAGGGUAUAGACCCGAAACCCGGUGAUCUAGCCAUGGGCAGGUUGAAGGUUGGGUAACACUAACUGGAGGACCGAACCGACUAAUGUUGAAAAAUUAGCGGAUGACUUGUGGCUGGGGGUGAAAGGCCAAUCAAACCGGGAGAUAGCUGGUUCUCCCCGAAAGCUAUUUAGGUAGCGCCUCGUGAAUUCAUCUCCGGGGGUAGAGCACUGUUUCGGCAAGGGGGUCAUCCCGACUUACCAACCCGAUGCAAACUGCGAAUACCGGAGAAUGUUAUCACGGGAGACACACGGCGGGUGCUAACGUCCGUCGUGAAGAGGGAAACAACCCAGACCGCCAGCUAAGGUCCCAAAGUCAUGGUUAAGUGGGAAACGAUGUGGGAAGGCCCAGACAGCCAGGAUGUUGGCUUAGAAGCAGCCAUCAUUUAAAGAAAGCGUAAUAGCUCACUGGUCGAGUCGGCCUGCGCGGAAGAUGUAACGGGGCUAAACCAUGCACCGAAGCUGCGGCAGCGACGCUUAUGCGUUGUUGGGUAGGGGAGCGUUCUGUAAGCCUGCGAAGGUGUGCUGUGAGGCAUGCUGGAGGUAUCAGAAGUGCGAAUGCUGACAUAAGUAACGAUAAAGCGGGUGAAAAGCCCGCUCGCCGGAAGACCAAGGGUUCCUGUCCAACGUUAAUCGGGGCAGGGUGAGUCGACCCCUAAGGCGAGGCCGAAAGGCGUAGUCGAUGGGAAACAGGUUAAUAUUCCUGUACUUGGUGUUACUGCGAAGGGGGGACGGAGAAGGCUAUGUUGGCCGGGCGACGGUUGUCCCGGUUUAAGCGUGUAGGCUGGUUUUCCAGGCAAAUCCGGAAAAUCAAGGCUGAGGCGUGAUGACGAGGCACUACGGUGCUGAAGCAACAAAUGCCCUGCUUCCAGGAAAAGCCUCUAAGCAUCAGGUAACAUCAAAUCGUACCCCAAACCGACACAGGUGGUCAGGUAGAGAAUACCAAGGCGCUUGAGAGAACUCGGGUGAAGGAACUAGGCAAAAUGGUGCCGUAACUUCGGGAGAAGGCACGCUGAUAUGUAGGUGAAGUGAUUUACUCAUGGAGCUGAAAUCAGUCGAAGAUACCAGCUGGCUGCAACUGUUUAUUAAAAACACAGCACUGUGCAAACACGAAAGUGGACGUAUACGGUGUGACGCCUGCCCGGUGCCGGAAGGUUAAUUGAUGGGGUUAGCGCAAGCGAAGCUCUUGAUCGAAGCCCCGGUAAACGGCGGCCGUAACUAUAACGGUCCUAAGGUAGCGAAAUUCCUUGUCGGGUAAGUUCCGACCUGCACGAAUGGCGUAAUGAUGGCCAGGCUGUCUCCACCCGAGACUCAGUGAAAUUGAACUCGCUGUGAAGAUGCAGUGUACCCGCGGCAAGACGGAAAGACCCCGUGAACCUUUACUAUAGCUUGACACUGAACAUUGAGCCUUGAUGUGUAGGAUAGGUGGGAGGCUUUGAAGUGUGGACGCCAGUCUGCAUGGAGCCGACCUUGAAAUACCACCCUUUAAUGUUUGAUGUUCUAACGUGGACCCGUAAUCCGGGUUGCGGACAGUGUCUGGUGGGUAGUUUGACUGGGGCGGUCUCCUCCUAAAGAGUAACGGAGGAGCACGAAGGUUGGCUAAUCCUGGUCGGACAUCAGGAGGUUAGUGCAAUGGCAUAAGCCAGCUUGACUGCGAGCGUGACGGCGCGAGCAGGUGCGAAAGCAGGUCAUAGUGAUCCGGUGGUUCUGAAUGGAAGGGCCAUCGCUCAACGGAUAAAAGGUACUCCGGGGAUAACAGGCUGAUACCGCCCAAGAGUUCAUAUCGACGGCGGUGUUUGGCACCUCGAUGUCGGCUCAUCACAUCCUGGGGCUGAAGUAGGUCCCAAGGGUAUGGCUGUUCGCCAUUUAAAGUGGUACGCGAGCUGGGUUUAGAACGUCGUGAGACAGUUCGGUCCCUAUCUGCCGUGGGCGCUGGAGAACUGAGGGGGGCUGCUCCUAGUACGAGAGGACCGGAGUGGACGCAUCACUGGUGUUCGGGUUGUCAUGCCAAUGGCACUGCCCGGUAGCUAAAUGCGGAAGAGAUAAGUGCUGAAAGCAUCUAAGCACGAAACUUGCCCCGAGAUGAGUUCUCCCUGACUCCUUGAGAGUCCUGAAGGAACGUUGAAGACGACGACGUUGAUAGGCCGGGUGUGUAAGCGCAGCGAUGCGUUGAGCUAACCGGUACUAAUGAACCGUGAGGCUUAACCUUACAACGCCGAAG